GAUGAACGCUGGCGGCGUGCCUAAUACAUGCAAGUCGAGCGAACGGACGAGAAGCUUGCUUCUCUGAUGUUAGCGGCGGACGGGUGAGUAACACGUGGAUAACCUACCUAUAAGACUGGGAUAACUUCGGGAAACCGGGGCUAAUACCGGAUGAUAUUUUGAACCGCAUGGUUCAAAAGUGAAAGACGGUCUUGCUGUCACUUAUAGAUGGAUCCGCGCUGCAUUAGCUAGUUGGUAAGGUAACGGCUUACCAAGGCAACGAUGCAUAGCCGACCUGAGAGGGUGAUCGGCCACACUGGAACUGAGACACGGUCCAGACUCCUACGGGAGGCAGCAGUAGGGAAUCUUCCGCAAUGGGCGAAAGCCUGACGGAGCAACGCCGCGUGAGUGAUGAAGGUCUUCGGAUCGUAAAACUCUGUUAUUAGGGAAGAGCAUAUGUGUAAGUAACUGUGCACAUCUUGACGGUACCUAAUCAGAAAGCCACGGCUAACUACGUG
This 497-nucleotide ribosomal RNA is filed under the name uncultured bacterium. RNAcentral describes it as "partial 16S ribosomal RNA". It matches the Rfam family "Bacterial small subunit ribosomal RNA", at positions 28 to 507 of the family's 1533-position model. The record is from RNAcentral.